GCUUGCUAGUAGGCGACGAGUGGCGAACGGGUGAGUAACGCGUAGGAAUAUACCUUUUUGUGGGGGACAACUUUAGGAAACUGAAGCUAAUACCGCAUAAUAUCUUCGGAUAAAAGCUGGGGACCUUCGGGCCUGGUGCAAAGAGAUUAGCCUGCGUCCGAUUAGCUAGUUGGUAGGGUAAAGGCCUACCAAGGCGACGAUCGGUAGCUGUUCUGAGAGGAAGACCAGCCACACUGGGACUGAGACACGGCCCAGACUCCUACGGGAGGCAGCAGUGGGGAAUAUUGGACAAUGGGGGCAACCCUGAUCCAGCAAUGCCGCGUGUGUGAAGAAGGCCUUCGGGUUGUAAAGCACUUUCAGUGGGGAGGAAAGGUUGUUAUUUAAUAAAUGAUAGCUGUGACGUUACCCACAGAAGAAGCACCGGCUAACUCCGUGCCAGCAGCCGCG
This 447-nucleotide ribosomal RNA is filed under the name uncultured Gammaproteobacteria bacterium. RNAcentral's name for it is "bacterial SSU rRNA". It matches the Rfam family "Bacterial small subunit ribosomal RNA", at positions 76 to 519 of the family's 1533-position model. The record is from RNAcentral. Lineage: Bacteria; Pseudomonadati; Pseudomonadota; Gammaproteobacteria.